RNAcentral lists this ribosomal RNA (434 nucleotides) under uncultured Lachnospiraceae bacterium. RNAcentral describes it as "partial 16S ribosomal RNA". It matches the Rfam family "Bacterial small subunit ribosomal RNA", at positions 341 to 792 of the family's 1533-position model. Lineage: Bacteria; Bacillati; Bacillota; Clostridia; Lachnospirales; Lachnospiraceae. The record is from RNAcentral.
ACGGAAGGCAGCAGUGGGGAAUAUUGGACAAUGGGGGAAACCCUGAUCCAGCGACGCCGCGUGAGUGAAGAAGUAUUUCGGUAUGUAAAGCUCUAUCAGCAAGGAAGAAAAUGACGGUACUUGACUAAGAAGCUCCGGCUAAAUACGUGCCAGCAGCCGCGGUAAUACGUAUGGAGCAAGCGUUAUCCGGAUUUACUGGGUGUAAAGGGAGCGUAGACGGCAAAGCAAGUCCGAAGUGAAAUCCCGGGGCUCAACCCCGGAACUGCUUUGGAAACUGUUUAGCUAGAGUGCAGGAGAGGUAAGCGGAAUUCCUAGUGUAGCGGUGAAAUGCGUAGAUAUUAGGAGGAACACCAGUGGCGAAGGCGGCUUACUGGACUGUAACUGACGUUGAGGCUCGAAAGCGUGGGGAGCAAACAGGACUAGAUACCCUGGUA